GAUGGCGCGUACGGAGACGGUUGAUUCCUGUUCGUCUAGUAAAUCAGCCUCACCGAAAUACUCACCAUCGCCUAAUAGAGCGAUCCGUAAAUCCUCACCGUGAGGGCCCUUACUGAUGACCUCAGCCUGUCCACUGGCUACGAUGAAGAAACGCUGUUUGUCCUUGCCCUCCUCCACGAAGAACUUAUCCACAUCGAUCUCCUUGGCCUCGAACGAGCUCACCAGGCGGUUCAGAAUCUCGUCGUCGAACUCAGAGAACAAGGGUAUAGCUUUGAGGUUCUUCGCUGUAAACGACGGCACGCCGUUGACAUACUGGAUGGGUAAGCGGUCGUUCUUGCGUAACUCGACCUUCGUGCGGUUCACACGGAAUGUACCGCCACUAACCUGUACCCAGGGUAACAACUUAAGAAGUAAUCUCGGGGUGAUAGAGCCCAUCUGUGGGGCGGUCUUGGUGGUGGUUGCCAGCCUUCUGGCGGUAGCAGUG
This 484-nucleotide non-coding RNA is filed under the name uncultured Prevotella sp. Lineage: Bacteria; Pseudomonadati; Bacteroidota; Bacteroidia; Bacteroidales; Prevotellaceae. The record is from RNAcentral.